UACGUAGGGGCCCAGCGUUGUCCGGAUUCAUUGGGCGUAAAGCGCGCGCAGGCGGCCCGGUGUGCCGCCCGGUGAAAUCCCCCGGCUCAACCGGGGGGGGUCGGGCGAGACUGUCGGGCUGGAGGCGGGUAGGGGGCAGCGGAAUUCCCGGUGUAGUGGUGGAAUGCGUAGAUAUCGGGAGGAACACCAGUGGCGAAGGCGGCUCUCGUGGGACGGUACUGACGCUGAGACGCGAAAGCGUGGGGAGCGAACAGG
This 255-nucleotide ribosomal RNA is filed under the name uncultured bacterium. RNAcentral describes it as "partial 16S ribosomal RNA". It matches the Rfam family "Bacterial small subunit ribosomal RNA", at positions 524 to 776 of the family's 1533-position model. The record is from RNAcentral.